This 328-nucleotide unclassified non-coding RNA is filed under the name soil metagenome. RNAcentral describes it as "partial contains 5.8S ribosomal RNA, internal transcribed spacer 2, and large subunit ribosomal RNA". The stretch from base 1 to 120 matches the Rfam family "5.8S ribosomal RNA", at positions 35 to 154 of the family's 154-position model. The record is from RNAcentral.
GAUGAAGAACGUAGCGAAAUGCGAUAAGUAAUGUGAAUUGCAGAAUUCAGUGAAUCAUCGAAUCUUUGAACGCACAUUGCGCCCCUUGGUAUUCCGAGGGGCAUGCCUGUUCGAGCGUCAUUAUAACCCCUCAAGCUCAGCUUGGUGUUGGGGCCUGCUGCACUGGCAGCCCUUAAAAUCAGUGGCGGCGCCAUCUGGCUCUAAGCGUAGUAAUUCUUCUCGCUAUGAGUCCUGGUGGAUGCUUGCCAUCAACCCCCAAUUUUUCUAUGGUUGACCUCGGAUCAGGUAGGGAUACCCGCUGAACUUAAGCAUAUCAAUAAGCGGAGGA